Non-coding RNA from Trichobilharzia regenti, 49 nucleotides. Lineage: Eukaryota; Metazoa; Platyhelminthes; Trematoda; Strigeidida; Schistosomatidae. The record is from Rfam.
AUCCAGUAAGCUGACGAGUCCCAAAUAGGACGAAAUUCGCAUCCUGGAU